AGAGUUUGAUCCUGGCUCAGGAUGAACGCUAGCGGCAGGCCUAAUACAUGCAAGUCGAACGGUAAGCUUGGUAGCAAUAUUGAGCCUAGAGUGACGUACGGGUGCGUAACACGUAUGCAACCUACCUUGUACAGGAGUAUAGCUCGGGGAAACUCGAAUUAAUCCUCCAUAAUAUAUCUGGGAGGCAUCUUUUGGAUAUUAAAACUUUGGUGGUACAAGAUGGGCAUGCGUCUGAUUAGUUAGUUGGCGGGGUAACGGCCCACCAAGACGAUGAUCAGUAGGGGAACUGAGAGGUUGAUCCCCCACACUGGCACUGAGAUACGGGCCAGACUCCUACGGGAGGCAGCAGUAGGGAAUAUUGGUCAAUGGAUGGAAGUCUGAACCAGCCAUGCCGCGUGCAGGAAGAAGGCCUUCUGGGUUGUAAACUGCUUUUGCCAGGGGAUAAAAUGCUUGUGCGCAAGCAAUUGAAGGUACCUGGUGAAUAAGCCACGGCUAACUACGUGCCAGCAGCCGCGGUAAUACGUAGGUGGCAAGCGUUGUCCGGAUUUAUUGGGUUUAAAGGGUGCGUAGGCGGUCUAUUAAGUCAGUGGUGAAAUACUCCAGCUUAACUGGAGGGGUGCCAUUGAUACUGAUGGACUUGAGUGAAGUCGAGGUAGGCGGAAUUGACGGUGUAGCGGUGAAAUGCUU
RNAcentral lists this ribosomal RNA (687 nucleotides) under uncultured bacterium. RNAcentral describes it as "bacterial SSU rRNA". It matches the Rfam family "Bacterial small subunit ribosomal RNA", at positions 8 to 691 of the family's 1533-position model. The record is from RNAcentral.